GGUGCGGCUAUAAGACUGUUGACUGUUCACUUUAACUGUGUAUCGCAGUUUUAUCCAAGUUACUUUUGUUGGACCUUGUUUAAUAAUUGAGAAGAUGCCAAAGACACGAGCUAAGACAAGAAAAGUUGACAGGAGGACCCUAAGAAAAGAAAGAUUUCAUCAUUUGGGAAAGAAAAGUUGGGAAAAGAGAAGAGAAAAGAAAUUAAAAGAUUGUGAUUCCUGUGUCACUGUUUCUAGAGUCGAUGUACCAUUGCCUGUUGUGCAUGUAAGUUCUUCUUCAAUAAUUUUUAGUGAGUACCUAUUUAAAAUACAUUUAAAGUACAUUAAUUAAGAAGAAAUUGCAUGCAUUUUGACUCAAAACUAGUUACUUCAGUUGUGCCUAUUUGGGCAAUCUCCUGCCUAAUAGAUAAUGUUUUAAGGAGUGUCUCACUUUUGAUACCACCAUGAUUAAGUUUACUUUUGAUACCACCAUGAUUAAGUUUACUUUUGAUACCACCAUGAUUUUACCGCCAUCAUUUCAAAAACAGUGUUCAAAUGCACUAUUUCCUUCCUACAUAAUGGUCCUACUUUACUUUUAGAGAUUUCCUACUUUUAGAGAUUUUGAGUAUUGUUAAUAAAAUUUUUCUUGAAGUGUGCAAAAAAACUUCAAAAGUGAUUGAUCCAGUGUAAUUAAGAAUCAUCCAGUGUAAAAAAGAAGUACAAUGUAUUUGUACAAGGAGUGGACAGGGUUUUGUCCUUCUAAUGGCUGGCUAUUUAUUUUUGUAGAUUAAUUUUGGAAUGAAUAUUAGGAUGUAAAAAUGGCUACUUAGUGAUAAUCACCAUAGUUUUAAAGAACUACUGUAAUGUGAUCUUUUCAGACCUGGGGUCAAUUACAAUUGUAAUUAUAAUUUAAUGGUCAAUUACAAUUACAGUUGUGUAAUUGUAAUUGAGCUUCAGCUUACGUAAUUGAAGUUUCAGUUACAUUUCAUUUACAGAAUGUACAGAUACACAAAAAAAUGUUUUUAAUGUACACUAGUGUCUAUUGGUUUAUUUGAUAACUGCAAAUCACUACCUGAUGUAAAUUCUAAGCCACAGUGUAAGCAUUGCAAUGUAUCUUUUUGACAUCAAGUUGUAAUUGUAAUUGAAAAUGUAAUUGAAAUUACACUGUCAUGGUGUAACUGUAAUUGUAAUUGAGCCUCUUCUUGCAAAAGGAGCGUAAUUGAAUGCGUAAAUAUAAUUGAGCUUUUGUCAUUGACCCCUAGUCUGGAUCUUUAUAUCAGUAAUUUCAAUGAUUUUGCCAAAAAUAUCUGUCACUUUAGCUAACCUCAGGCACUAUUCGUUUAAUUUCUAAUUGCACAUUUUGAAUGAAUUAUAUUCUAGUAUGCAGUAGCUGUACUCUGGCAGUUUUGGUAUACUUUCUUAUGCAUCCAUGUACCAUGGGAACAAUAGAUUAUUCAUGCAUGUCAUUUUAAAACCUCAGUUAAAGUUAGUUUUGUAAUUCAUAUUGUAUUUUAAAUUUUGAGCAUUGCAUCAAAAUUAAGGAACUAUACCUUAUGUGGUUGCCUUUUUGCCAUCUAGUGAGGGAAGAAAGUUACAAAGAAAAUACUGUAGUUUUUGGUAAAUUUAAUCUGCCAGUAGAUUUUAAAAAAUUCACCUGAUGAACUGGUGAUGUCUUUUCGUUCAGAAACAGCUUUUUGUUGAUACCAGAGACUUGAUGGCUAUUAAAAUAAUGUAUUUGCAAUUCUGUCUCAUAUUUGAUUACAUAACCACUGUUCUUUAAGUGUUAGAAACGUUAAACAUUCCCAUUAACAAAGAACUGAAACAUAAGGUUAAAUGUAUUGAGUCAACUUAAUUGUUUUAUUUUUUGUAAAUAGUUAUGACAUUUUUUACAAAAAUGUAUUCGUCUUUACAUUUCUUCUUAUCAUUUCUGUCUACAUACAUACAUGUAUUCUGUGCAGUUUUAAAUUUAAUCCUAAUGCAGUGUUAAAUGGCAAUGAUCCUGCAUGUGAGAGAGCCCCUAAUAGGCUUUCAUUUAUAUACAGUACAGGGCGUAAAAAGAUAAGUAGCUACUCUACUGUUGCGUAGGUACAGUUUAGAGAGAAAAAAA
Amphimedon queenslandica is the source of this 2086-nucleotide long non-coding RNA. RefSeq lists it as uncharacterized. The transcript has 3 exons. Lineage: Eukaryota; Metazoa; Porifera; Demospongiae; Haplosclerida; Niphatidae. The record is from RefSeq and is a predicted model, not a curated record.